Molecule: ribosomal RNA, 330 nt
Filed under: uncultured bacterium
Lineage: Bacteria
Description: bacterial SSU rRNA
Rfam family: Bacterial small subunit ribosomal RNA
Source: RNAcentral
UGCGUAGGCGGUUUCGCAAGUUUGGUGUGAAAUGUCCCGGCUCAACUGGGAGGGUGCGCCGAAAACUGCGGGGCUUGAGAGUGGGAGAGGUAAGCGGAAUUCCUGGUGUAGCGGUGAAAUGCGUAGAUAUCAGGAGGAACACCAGCGGUGUAGACGGCUUACUGGACCACGACUGACGCUGAGGCACGAAAGCGUGGGGAGCAAACAGGAUUAGAUACCCUGGUAGUCCACGCCCUAAACGAUGCACACUUGGUGUGAGCGAUUCAUUUCGUUCGUGCCGGAGCUAACGCGUUAAGUGUGCCGCCUGGGGAGUACGGUCGCAAGGCUGAA